Molecule: small RNA, 30 nt
Filed under: Bombyx mori (domestic silkworm)
Lineage: Eukaryota; Metazoa; Arthropoda; Insecta; Lepidoptera; Bombycidae
Description: ovarian small RNA-26067
Source: RNAcentral
UCAUCCUGGCCCGCUUGCGGAAGACCGCUU